CAUCUUUCUACCUUGUAGUGGAGGGGAAGGCCAUUAAGCAGAGAAGGGAAACAAAAGAGCAAACAAGAGACAUCUGCCUGCUGCUGCUUGUCCCUGUCUCUGGGUGGGUUCAACAUGGGGCUUCUCCACUCCCUCUGUGUGCAGGUUCAAGAAGGGGCUCCUUCUUCCCUGACACUAAUAAGAGGAGAAGGUUCGAGAGAAAAAGCGGAGAAUGUGUGAGCAAUGACUGUUUUCCUCCUGGAAGGAGCUUUGCAUGUCUCUUCAACCUUUCGCAAGUGACAACCAGGACCCCAUAUGACUAAGGAGCUUCAUCAGUGUGUAAUCAAGAUACACAAAAAUAUUAAUGAGGAAGAAGACAUAAGCUGCCUGAGGUUGCAACAGUUAGCUUAUGCCUGGGCCUGUUGGAAAAAUCGUGGUUUAAAGACUAUGGAAGAAUUUAAAGACCAUAGAAAGUGCAGAUUUGCAUUGUUAGGAAUAACGGGCAAAGACCAAAAACUCUGAACAUUUAUUUAUUAUUUACUUUGUUUUGUUGAAGAUUUUCACGGCCGGAAUCACUGGGUUGCUUUGAGUUUUCCGAGCUGCGUGGCCAUGUUCCAGAAGCAUUCUCUCCUGACAUUUCACCCACAUCUAUGUCAAGUAUCCUCAGAGAUUGUGAGGUCUGUUGGAAACUAGGCAGGUGGGGUUUAUAUAUCUGUAGGACGUCCAGAGUGGGAGAAAGAACUCUUGUCUGUUUGAGUAUGCUGUGGUGAUGGAUUUUGAAGAGACACUAAUAGCGAAGGAAAGGAAGAAACGUACCAAGAGGAUGGCGCAUCAAGCAAACUUUUGUCGGGAAUGCCUUCCAUCUGGAAAUCAAUGCCCUCAUUGAGAAAGGCCAUGCUAAUCCAGAAUAGUUUUCUACAGUCACUUAUGAACCCAUCAUCAAGACUCCGCUUUUGAAAGACAAUCAUAAUCCAUGAAGGAUCACCUAUGAUGAAGUUGUGGUGUAUUAUGAUCUCAAAUUGGAUCCAAUUUAAACUAAGCAACCUUUUAAAAAUAUUUCACAAGCUAUAGUUCCAGACCCAUAAUAUUAUUGAUUAUACAGUGAUAAAAUCUGAGCUAUUUUCUCUUAAACAUAAGUGCAGGAUCAAAUAAUGACCCGCAGAGUUACAAUUAAAGUAAUAGUAUAAUGCUGAAUCUCUGUUUUUGCUACAUUGCGCUAAGCAGUACUGUACACUGUCAUAAAACGUUGGCUGAAAUGUAAGAGACUGAAAAAAACAUCCUCUUGUUAUGUAUGUGUAAAGAGCUAAUAACGACUGCCACCAAUUUGUAAAGGACUAAGAACGUCUAAGGUUCUUUCAGGCAAGGGGGGAAUGUUUUUAUCCCACCGCUGCCACUAAUUUGCGAAGAUGCAGCCACCAAAGACUCAGAGGGGAGACCUUUUACUUUUUCUUUCUUUCUUCUUCUUCACUUAAGAGGGUAGCGUAACUUAGUUUAUAAUAUAUGCGAUAGAGUCUUAGAUGUUGGAGGAACAAUAACAAGUUUAUUCAGGCACAGAGCUUAGUGGUUACAAUUCUCACUUAGAGGCACUUUCAUUAACAGUUACAAUAUUAGAAUAAAAGGAGUCAAACUCCCUAAAGUGUCACUUCUUUAACUUAAAGUAGUCAGAACUUCAUCCUCUGCCACUUUUAAACCGUAGUCACCCCUGUGAUAUACGAUCACAGAUUCUCUGUUCCUUACUAGGACACAGACUACAUAAAAUAUGUCACCAAACUUAUUUUAAUCUGACUCAAAAUGAACAAUCGAGUCUCCCUUGAUCCCCUCAACCUAGGAUCAAUCUUCCCUAUGCCUCACCAGAGCACAGACUGAAUUCCUUUUUAAAACUCUGCACUUCUUCAACAAAACGGCAGUUGGCUCCGCCUACUUCUCCAUGGCAACCAGCCUCUGAGUGCAGAGAAGCAAUAACUGUAAUACUUACCCUUUUUAAAACACAAACACACAAUUAAACAUAACAUCUGUAAACCAAAAAUUCAUACUUCAUUACAGUAUGAAAUAUAUUUUAGAAAAAUAGAAUAAUUUAUCAUAGAAAUUGUAUAAUCUACCAGAUCUACAAAACAAUGACUAGUUUGUGAUGCUUUUCUUUCUUUUCCCAGAUACUUUCUUAGGGCAAUACUUGGCAUCCUUAUCAGUGAAUAAACAUCUUCAGAAAUGUGAUUGGUUUUCAAGUAUGCAUGUGUCAGGUUUGACUGAACUGGCUUAGAACCUAAAUAGUACUCUUGUUGGCUCUAGCACUCUCAAGAAGGUUUGAAUAUUUUUUAUUUAUUUAUUUAUUUACUAUAUUUAUACCCCACUCUUCUCAACCCCGAAGGGGACUCAGAGCGGCUUACAGAUUAUGGCAAAAUUCAAUGCCGCAUUAUACAACAAAUAAUAAAUAUAACAUAUCAAAUUAUAAAACAAUUAAAACAUAUACAUGCAAUAAAACAUUAAAACAUAGUUUUAAAGGAGCAGAUGUUCCAUCAGGCAAUGAGACAAAACUGGUGUCGCAGUGCCAGCAUUCACUCGAGAGGGCCCAGGUGAGUCAAGGACCAUGGCCGGAAGAAACAAAUUUUUACUCAGGAAUUAGACAGUUGAACAUGGCCAAGCUCUAAAAGACUGAAAGGGACACUGAGGGGUUGAAGACAAAGAACAGAUGCACUUAUUCACCUUGGCCAAAGUGGAUGUCAGCAGAGUCUGCCUUCCAAAGACUGACAUAAAAGCAAUUGAAAAUUCAGAUUUAUUUAUAGCACUUUGACAGCUAUUCAAAAUAAAAGAUUUCGCUACCCUGCAUGCUGAUUGGUCCAGACUGCGGCAUGCAAGAAUCUUCUUGCUGGUUGGUGGAGACGCACAGUCUGCCAUCGCUGUUGAUUGGCUUGCAGGUUUGGUGGGAAUUUUAAUAAACUCUUGUUGCCUGAUUUUUGUGGCUGUUUAACUUGGUCUGCCCAUAAAGGGGUGUGGGAGGAAAGGAAUGUGGGCAGGGUCAGAGUAAAUAAAGCUGAUAGCUUUGGUCCUGUCCACCUGGAACAAGACAGUGGGUUUGCUGCCAAUACAAUGAGUGCCAGGGGUGUUGGCACAGCCACAACAAAUUUCUUGGGGAUCUGAUCAGUCGAUUGAAAUUGGAAAGUGUUCACCAGGAUAAGCUUGAUAAUAUCUUGCAAUAAACCGUGUGGCUCUCCUUAAACCCAUUGUGGAAUGUGAUGACUCAUGGGCCUUGUAGUCCUGUUCCUAGUACUAUUGUGGCAGACGAAGAGGAAAACAUGGGGUUUUCGCCGGUUCAGCAAGAGCCGGAGUCUCUUCACCUGCAGGAUGUUGAUGUUUGCCCUCAAGAAUUCAGCCAAACAGGCCUUGGGCAGAACUCCCCUCCGUUUCCCAGGAGGGAAAAUUAUUCUAAAGACAGGGGAGUCAGGGAGGCUAAUCGGAGAAGCCUGAGAAUCGCUGCCAAACAAAUGGCUGAUUAGGUCUGCUUCCCUUGGGAAAUUCUAAGGAGUCUGCAUCUGGACAGAGUUGGGUUUCGCUUCUCGUUCUCUAGGGAAAGAGUUCUGUUGGCGGGAAAACGAGACCCAAUAUAGGUGUUUGGCGCGAGGGAUUCUUUGCGGAGUCAAUUGAUCAGCUUGAGGAGAGAGAUCGUGUGUGGACUUUGUAAUCCCAGUUCCUUGCUUCCCGGAUCAAGCUUCAAGCCUCGCCCUGUCUCACGGUUUUACCACGGACUCUGUUCACGCUUCAUGUUCGUCUUGUCUCCAGUCACGGAUCUAGCCAAGAAUCAAGUUUAUUUCCAGCCUUGUUGUCAAGCUUCAUUGGACUCUAAGACUCUGUUAUUUCCCCACACUAUUGCUUGGCAAAGUGUGUGUUUCGGUCAAGUGGAUUAAAACUUUGAACUCUAAUAUCUUAUAUUGGACAAUACAUUUCUGGACUAUAUUUGACCUCAUCUGAAAGGUCUGCUUCUGAACUAUAUUCUUCACUUGUUUUUAUUGAUUUUAUAUAUUUCUUUAAUAAAGAUAUUAGAUAGAGA
Long non-coding RNA from Anolis carolinensis (green anole), 4021 nucleotides. RefSeq lists it as uncharacterized. The record is from RefSeq and is a predicted model, not a curated record. The transcript is spliced from 3 exons. NCBI's taxonomy places the organism in Eukaryota, Metazoa, Chordata, Lepidosauria, Squamata, Anolidae.